RNAcentral lists this ribosomal RNA (637 nucleotides) under uncultured bacterium. Its description in RNAcentral is "bacterial SSU rRNA". It matches the Rfam family "Bacterial small subunit ribosomal RNA", at positions 607 to 1244 of the family's 1533-position model. The record is from RNAcentral.
GCUCAACCGAGGAAGUGCUUCGAAAACUGGUAAACUUGAGUGCAGAAGAGGAAAGUGGAACUCCAUGUGUAGCGGUGGAAUGCGUAGAUAUAUGGAAGAACACCAGUGGCGAAGGCGGCUUUCUGGUCUGUAACUGACGCUGAGAUUCGAAAGCAUGGGUAGCAAACAGGAUUAGAUACCCUGGUAGUCCAUGCCGUAAACGAUGAGUGCUAAGUGUUGGAGGGUUUCCGCCCUUCAGUGCUGCAGCUAACGCAUUAAGCACUCCGCCUGGGGAGUACGAUCGCAAGAUUGAAACUCAAAGGAAUUGACGGGGGCCCGCACAAGCGGUGGAGCAUGUGGUUUAAUUCGAAGCAACGCGAAGAACCUUACCAGGUCUUGACAUACCAUGAAAAGCUUAGAGAUAAGUCUUUCCCUUCGGGGACAUGGAUACAGGUGGUGCAUGGUUGUCGUCAGCUCGUGUCGUGAGAUGUUGGGUUAAGUCCCGCAACGAGCGCAACCCUUAUUAUCAGUUGCCAGCAUUUAGUUGGGCACUCUGGUGAGACUGCCGGUGACAAACCGGAGGAAGGUGGGGACGACGUCAAAUCAUCAUGCCCCUUAUGACCUGGGCUACACACGUGCUACAAUGGUCGGUACAACG